Esox lucius (northern pike) is the source of this 339-nucleotide long non-coding RNA. RefSeq lists it as uncharacterized. The transcript has 3 exons. NCBI's taxonomy places the organism in Eukaryota, Metazoa, Chordata, Actinopteri, Esociformes, Esocidae. The record is from RefSeq and is a predicted model, not a curated record.
GAGGCCUACAUGAGAGUCCUCUAUUCUGUAUAACAACUGACAAUGCCGCGAACAUGGUGAAGGCUGCCGCCCUGAACAAGUGGACCAGAUUGCAGUGCUUUGGCCAGACUGCAUCUUGCAGUUGCUAUGCAGUAGAAGGCGUAGAAGACCCCUGGAACGUAACAGCCAAGGAUUCCAACAGAGAUUCCAGCGUAGUCCAGCGCCAACCAGUGACGACAUGUCUUCUCUGAGAGGUGGCAGGAGAACAGACACACACCUGAAAGCAGAAGAGCGCUAUGCAGUAGAUGACAUAGUCUUCUCUGUUGGCACCUGAAGCUGGCAGCACUGCACACAUGUCAU